RNAcentral lists this unclassified non-coding RNA (312 nucleotides) under uncultured fungus. RNAcentral's name for it is "sequence contains ITS1". The stretch from base 1 to 101 matches the Rfam family "5.8S ribosomal RNA", at positions 50 to 154 of the family's 154-position model. The record is from RNAcentral. Lineage: Eukaryota; Fungi.
AAAUUGCGAAAAUUAAUGUGAAUUGCAAACUCAGUGAAUCAUCGAGUCUUUGAACGCAUCUUGCGCCUUUGCACUCCAAAGGCAUGCCUGUUUGAGCAUCAUUAUACACAUCAAGCUACGGCUUGGACGUGGGCGUUGACAUUUUAGUCUCGCCUUAAAUUCGUACGUCUCGAGGCUGCGUGGCCCGGGUAUGUUGGCUUUAUUGACUAUUGCCGACUAUACAGCCUGGUGCUAUUAAGCGCUCCUCCAAGGAUGUCAUUGGGAAUUUUAAACUUUGAUCUCAAAUCAGGCAAGACUACCCGCUGAACUUAA